This 445-nucleotide ribosomal RNA is filed under the name uncultured bacterium. Its description in RNAcentral is "bacterial SSU rRNA". It matches the Rfam family "Bacterial small subunit ribosomal RNA", at positions 335 to 797 of the family's 1533-position model. The record is from RNAcentral.
ACUCCUACGGGAGGCAGCAGUGGGGAAUAUUGGACAAUGGGCGCAAGCCUGAUCCAGCCAUGCCGCGUGAGUGAUGAAGGCCCUAGGGUUGUAAAGCUCUUUCAGCGAGGAGGAUAAUGACGUUACUCGCAGAAGAAGCCCCGGCUAACUUCGUGCCAGCAGCCGCGGUAAUACGAAGGGGCUAGCGUUGUUCGGAAUUACUGGGCGUAAAGCGCAUGCAGGCGGCCUGUUAAGUCAGAUGUGAAAGCCCGGGGCUUAACCUCGGAAUUGCAUUUGAAACUGGCAGGCUAGAGUCUUGUAGAGGGGGUAGAAUUUCAGGUGUAGCGGUGAAAUGCGUAGAGAUCUGAAGGAAUACCAGUGGCGAAGGCGGCCCCCUGGACAAAGACUGACGCUCAGAUGCGAAAGCGUGGGGAGCAAACAGGAUUAGAUACCCUGGUAGCGACUG